RNAcentral lists this ribosomal RNA (373 nucleotides) under uncultured organism. RNAcentral's name for it is "bacterial SSU rRNA". It matches the Rfam family "Bacterial small subunit ribosomal RNA", at positions 526 to 896 of the family's 1533-position model. The record is from RNAcentral.
CGUAGGGACCGAGCGUUAUCCGGAUUCAUUGGGCGUAAAGAGCUCGUAGGCGGCUAUCCAAGUCGAACGUGAAAUCUCGGAGCUCAACUCCGAGCCUGCGUUCGAUACUGUAUGGCUAGAGUCUGGUAGGGGGAUCUGGAAUUCCUGGUGUAGCGGCGGAAUGCGCAGAUAUCAGGAGGAACACCGGUGGCGAAGGCGGGAUCCUGGGCCAGUACUGACGCUGAGGAGCGAAAGCGUGGGGAGCAAACAGGAUUAGAUACCCUGGUAGUCCACGCCGUAAACGAUGGGCGCUAGGUGUGGGAGGUCAUCGACUCCUUCCGUGCCGCAGCUAACGCAUUAAGCGCCCCGCCUGGGGAGUACGGCCGCAAGGCUA